GAUGAACGCUGGCGGCGUGCUUAACACAUGCAAGUCGAACGAAGCAUUUGCGACAGAUUUUUUCGGAAUGAAGUUGCUUAUGACUGAGUGGCGGACGGGUGAGUAACGCGUGGGUAACCUGCCUUGUACUGGGGGAUAGCAGCUGGAAACGGCUGGUAAUACCGCAUAAGCGCACAAUGUUGCAUGACAUGGUGUGAAAAACUCCGGUGGUAUAAGAUGGACCCGCGUCUGAUUAGCUAGUUGGUGAGAUAACAGCCCACCAAGGCGACGAUCAGUAGCCGACCUGAGAGGGUGACCGGCCACAUUGGGACUGAGACACGGCCCAGACUCCUACGGGAGGCAGCAGUGGGGAAUAUUGCACAAUGGAGGAAACUCUGAUGCAGCGACGCCGCGUGAGUGAAGAAGUAAUUCGUUAUGUAAAGCUCUACCAGCAGGGAAGAUAGUGACGGUACCUGACGAAGAAGCUCCGGCUAAAUACGUG
Molecule: ribosomal RNA, 481 nt
Filed under: uncultured bacterium
Lineage: Bacteria
Description: partial 16S ribosomal RNA
Rfam family: Bacterial small subunit ribosomal RNA
Source: RNAcentral